This is a long non-coding RNA of Orcinus orca (killer whale), 8092 nucleotides long. RefSeq lists it as uncharacterized. The record is from RefSeq and is a predicted model, not a curated record. The transcript is spliced from 3 exons. NCBI's taxonomy places the organism in Eukaryota, Metazoa, Chordata, Mammalia, Artiodactyla, Delphinidae.
GCCUGAGGCUUGGGGCAGGGAAUCGGAGGAUGGAUACGGGAGGAUGCUGAGGUCACCCAGAGAGGGGAGGCCUGAGGCUUGGGGCAGGGAAUCGGAGGAUGGAUACGGGAGGAUGCUGAGCUAACCCAGAGAGGGGAGGCCUGAGGCUUGGGGCAGGGAAUCGGAGGAUGGAUACGGGAGGAUGCUGAGGUAACCCAGCGAGGGGAGGCCUGAGGCUUGGGGCAGGAAGGGUGAUGUGGACACCAGGUGUCCUCCCGGGGUGGCUCAGACACAGACACCAGACUUCCCGGGACAGCUCAGAUCCAGGCAUCCUGCCCUUGUUCCAGAAGAUCAGCCCCCGCCCUCCAUAUUCAGUAGGCAGGGCUCUCUCUAGAGUCCCAUGUACAUUACUAGGAUUUUCAAAGGUGUUGCUCGUCAUGUGGAUUUUUCUUUUUUCUUUUUUUGGUUAUAAAAUAAUGACUAAGUUUUUAAAGAGAGAGAUUUUAAAAAAUAGUAAGUGAACCCCCCCUCAUAAUUUUAACCCCGUCAUACAGAUUUCAUGUAUACCUCACCAGACAUUUUUCUGAUCUGUGAUUAAAAUUUCUUUUAUAAAACUGUCAUACUACUUAUAAAUAGCUGUGCGUCACUCUCCCCACAACACGGCAUCUUGAGCGCGCAAAGGACGGUGGUGGAUCACAUUCUGUGCUUUUUGCCAGAGCACAGGACUUCCUCCACCUGUGCCCAGCUGGACGGUCAGAAGGACGGACCUCGUGGAGCUGGGCCACCCUCCCCCAGCUCCACGUCCAGAGUCCGGGCGACUGUGGCCACAGCCUCAGUUCCGCGAGUGAGGGACUCGCGGCGGACAGUACAGCUUCAGGCAGCUUGAGGAGGCGGUGGCCCCUUCGGUCUCCCCUAAGGCUGGGUGGGGUCAGCCGAGUUUACAGUAGAGGGUUGACCUUAGACCCAGGACAGGGCUAUUUAAAGGAACGUGACACCGAGCCAAAAGCCUGGGGACCGCAGGGCCAGCUGCCCCGUACAGAGGCCUAGAUUCUCCUGCACUGGGAUCCACGUCCUUUGGCAAAGCACACUUUGCAGUCACUGACCGUGAGCUACAGAUAGUUUUCAUUAUGAAAUAGCAUAAAUGUACCAAUGGAGACAGCAACUGUACUAACAUCUGUAUGACUUUAUAGAAUACUGUCUGUAAUAUGGAUAUAAUAUGAUGAUAACACAAUUAUAACACUGUCGUCCCUUGGGAUCUGUGGGGGAUUGGUUGCAGGACCCCCCCAAGACGCCAAAAUCCACGGACGCUCAAGUCCCGUACAUAAAAUGGCAUAUAACCUACGCACAUUCUCCCGCGCACUUUAGUGAUCUCUAGAUUACUUGUAAUACCUAACACAAUGUAAAUGCCACGUAAAUGGUUGCCGGUGUGUGGUAAAUUCAAGUUUCGUUUUUGGAAUUUUCUGGAAGUGUUUUUUUCUGAAUGUUUUCAAUCCGCAGUUGGUUGAAUCUGCAAAUGCAGAACCCACAGAUGUGGAGGGCCAACUGUAUAUGAUAUUAUACACCAUACAUUAUAAUAUUAUUACAAUUAUAUCUGAUAUAUAAUAGAUAUUAGAUAUACUAGAUAUAAUUACAUUAUAAUUAUUAAUGAUACCUAAUCUUCCAUUAUAUUCUAAAUAAAUAUAUAUUCAUGUAAUUACAGAUAGAACAUUUAUACUUUACAAAUGUGUUUAUAUAUAAUAACAUGAAGUUUGGGAUUAACAUAUACACACUGCUAUAUAUAAAGUAGAUAAUCAACACGGACCUGCUGUAUAGCACAAGGAACUCUACUCAGUAUUCUGUAAAAACCUAAAUGGGAAAAGAAUCUGAAAAAGAAUAGAUAUAUGUAUAUGUAUAGCUGAAUCACUUUACUAUACACUUGAAACUAACACAACGUUGUAAAUCAACUAUACUCCAAUAUAAAAUAAAAAUUUUAAAAAAUAAAAGCUCUGAAACAGAAAACAAUAACAUAUGCUAUAGUAUGAUAUGAUAUUGAUAUCAUUCUCACUGAAUUCUGGUUAGUGGCAAUGUGGGGCUCGGACACCCUCCUCCCCUACAGUGCUGGCUCCACCCUGCUCACGUCGGAUUUACCACCGCCAGAUUCCCUAGGUGGGAGGCUGUGAUUGCCACAGCACCAGCAGGUGAAGUCAAUAACUUACCUCCACAACAAAUUAUAGCAGCCACAAAAAGGGCAAUAUCACUGUCGUCCAGCUCCAGUGCAUUAAACUUCAUUGCAAAAUCGAACUUGGGCUCCAUGAUAUCACAAAAUGGUUUUCUUAGGCUUUUUAGAAAUUCACGAGUUAUAAAACCAUUUCCAUAUGCUACCAGCAUCCCGUCUUUAUUCAUCACAGAAGACAGCAUUGCAAAUAUGGCCUCGUAAACUCCGUAUUUCAGCAAAGUGACUUGGUCGUUCAAGUCCAAGUUUGCGAACCCCGGGAUGGACUUGGCGAAUUCCGUGAGCUCCGUGACCGUCUCCACAGACGUGCACUGGCAGCAGUGGAAGAUGCGGACCUCUGCCUCCUUGUUCUGGAUGCCGUUGGCCACCAACUUGGCCACGAGAGUCUUCUCGGCCAUACAUAACGUCUCCAUGUCGUGUAUGACAAAAGGCUGAAAAGAAAAACACCGGAAUAAGUCGGGUGAUUGGCGACAAGCUGUCUGCUUAAUUAUCAAGAAAAUGAUGAGUAGCUGCAGUAUUCCAGCCACCUGUCGAGAAUCAAAUUAUGUACAAAACACAGUCCUCAUCCUUAAACAACCUCAAAAUUAGUUGGGGACAAGAAGACAUUUAAUAGAGGACAAUAUAAAUCAGUAAGAGAAUAAUCAUCGGCGCCUAAAACUGGGUGGGGAUUUCAUUGCUAAGAAAGUGAAGUUCUGGGAAUUCCCUGGCUGUCCAGUGGUUAGGACUCCAUGCUUCCACUGUAGGGGGCACAGGUUCGAUCCCUGGUCGGGGAACUAAGAUCCCGUAUGCCGUGUAGCAUGGCCAAAAAAAAAAAAAAAAAGUGAAGUACUGAUUUUGGCAAUAAAGCUAACAAGAAAGAGAAUAUUAGCAAAGCACUUUAAAUAUUUUAUAAUGUCCUCUAAAUUCCCAAAUACUACUGCAAUAGCCAGUAAUUACAAUAAUUCUUAAUUUUGCCAUUUUAUGAACUUCGCAGAUAAUCAUCAUUAUCCGACGCUGACUGUUGAAUGAAUAAAUUUGGCAUGUAAGUAAAUACAAGUCAGAACGUUGGCAUUUGUGUGGAAGUAAACAAACGAGCAUCGUUAAACCCUUGCUCUUGGGGGGUAAACUGGAAAGCCUUGAAGGACCCUCGUUUCCCGGUACAGGAGACUGAAAUCUUCCCACCACUGCUCCAUGUUCUGAGACAAAUACCGAAUCCCCAUGGCAGCUCCCUAAAUGUGGCCUUCCCAUUUGCAUCUAAACCCACCGUUCCUGCCAUUUUAUAAAGAUCUAGCAGAGGAAGGAAGAGAUGGUUGGCCAUGUUAUUUGAAGCCAACGUGCUCAGAAGCGAUGAUGUAUCUGGUGGGGCUUAGAAGAAUGGGCACAGAUACCACUGCUGGCCAAACUUUGUGCCAGCUCUGUGUGCAGAGCGGAAUAAAUGGCAGGCUCUGAGGGAUCUCUCUCAGCCUUAAUGUGUUCUACAGACCAAUAAUGAAGUGGGCUGAGGCAUUAUUUUCGAUCCCCACUGGAUAAACACUGAGUGUAUAAGAAGCCCAGUGAUUUUAAGAAUCACUCUGCCAGUGGGCAAAACACAUCACUGACAGUGCCUCUGUGCCCACGGCACGACGUGUGCCCUAUUUCUGGGCUCACAAGAGCAUCAGGAGGAAUCAGCACAAAGCCAUCUUCUGGGAACCUGCUGGGUAUACCUGGUACAGAGGUGGGUGUGUUGGGAUAAUGUGAUGCAUUGCCUACGAAAUGUUUAAACAGAAUUAGAAUUUGCAAGAUAGUGUUGGACAAAAAAAAAAAAGAUCUGAUUUCACAUCUGAGGAAAGGGAAUAUUUUUAAAAUUAUCUGUGAAUGACUGAAAACAUUCUGAAUACAGAACUCAAAGCCCAAUUUCUAACGAUCUCAAGUUUGAUGAAGGAAGAGUAAAACUGUCUCUCUCCAAAGACUUUAAAAGCAGGCCAGAACUUCCCGGUGGCCCAGUGGUUAAGAAUCCACCUGCCAAUGCAGGGGACAUGGGUUCAAGCCCUGGUCUAAGAAGAUCCCACAUGCUGCAGAACAACUAAGCCCGUGCGCCACAACUGCUGAGCCUGCGCUCUAGAGCCCACAAGCCACAACUACUGAGCCUACAUGCCACAACUACUGAAGCCCACGCGCCUAGAGCCCGUGCUCUGCAACAAGAGAAGCCACCACAAUGAGAAGCCCGUGCACCACAACGAAGAGUAGCCCCCGCUCGCCGCAACUAGAGAAAGCCUGCGCGCAGCAACGAAGACCCAACACAGCCAAAAAUAAAUAAAUAAAUUAAAAGCAGGCCAGAUUUACCACUGUUUUGAGAAAGUCUGGGGGCAGUUCUGCUUCACAGGAAGUUGGAGCUCGGAUUUAAAGUAUUAACGUUUACAGGAUGGACCAGAAAAAUGUUUUUAAAGGACAGGUGGCAGUACUCCCUCAAUUUCAGAAAAUAUUAUAAGGCCACCUUGACUUUAUUCAAAUCACUGGCUUUUCAAAAGUACAUUCAGCAGAAAUAAAGGUGUUAAAAAAAAAAAAAAAAGAAUCCUGUUGUCAAGAAAAACCCUUGAGAAACACUGAGUUAGAUAAAGUUAGAGUCUACCAGAGUCUUUCAUGUGAGUGUACACCGUGGACCUUUAAGAAUGGGAUUGGCAUAAAUAGUGGUUCCCAGUGUUUGACUGCAGAACGCUUAUUAUUAUUAUUAUACUGUUGUUGUUAUUUGGUAGGACAUCUCUUGGACUAGCACAGACUGGCUACACAAUUUGCAGGGCCCAGUGCAAAAUGACAAUGUGGGGUCCCUUAUUCGAAAGUGCUUACGAAUUUCAAGACAGCGACAGAGCACUGAACGUCAGCACAAGGCCCUCUAAGCAGGGGCGUUGUGAAGCUGGACACACGCCCAGGACGCUGGCCCUGGACUAUUUUUAUGUGGAACAUUCUCUCAUAAACGGAGACUUCAAUGGUAAGAAAUAUUUCAUUUCAUGUGUAUAAAAUUAUCGCCUGGAUUUUAAAAGGCAGGCCUCAUGAACAGGCAAAAUUAGAAACGAUCUGAAUUCAAAACAAGUGCUAACAUUUGAAAAAUCAUGUUUAUUACAGCCAAAGAGAUAUUACAGAGUGACACCCUUGAAAGUUUGCCAGACUUUAUUGAGAAACAUUCUUGAUUAGACUAUUUUAAAAAUCUAGAAGCUUAUAUUUAACUUUGGAAUAUUUUCUUUAUCCUCAAGCUUGACUAUGAAUAUAUCUGAUGUUACGGGUGGUCAUUUCAAAUCGGUGAAGCACACUGUAAAGCUUUUAAACGGCACAAGGCAGAAAGAUGCCCACUUGCCCCCAAAACCACUCCACGCCACGACCAGAAGUCUCCCCUAACUGAUAGGUAUUUCCCUCGCUCACGCCUGACACUGUUCUAUGUGCGUUAAUGAUGUUAUAAGAAUUCAUCUCCCAAACACAUCAAAACAGCAUUUCCUAUGAAAAGUUCGGCAGCAGCAUCUUUUCGGAGAAAUUUAAUUGUGACUUAUUGGUAGAAUUGCUUUGGAUGAAGUGAUCUAAUAAGCUCUUGGGUAGGUUUUACUACACACUUCUAGAUAUAGUACAAAAUAGUAUGUUUUUCAAGCUACUGACAAGUUAUAGGUAUAAUAUUUCAAUAUAACACAGCAGGCCAAACCCCACGGUGUGGUGUGAGGGGGCUGCCAUUCCAGGAUGCUGCCAUUCCAGGAUGCCGCCCCUCCCGGCAGCUCUGUCUCUGACCCAGCACAGAUGGAGCAGAGACUGUGGCCCCAAGCUGCGCGCUCCAAGCUCUGGGGUGCAUUAGGCUGGGCGGGGAGGUAGGAGGAGGGCCAUGCUUCAACAUACAGAGGAAAUGGGGUGGGAAGUGAACCCAGCUUGGAGCAAACAGUGCCGUCAAAGGCAGUGGCUGGCCCUGGACGCUCCCUUUCAAACUGGUACCCGCGAUGCUCUGCUUCGGAGGUGGGCAGAAGCAAGCAAUUGACUCUCAGCAACACCCCGAAUUCUGUUUUUCCUCUCCAGUGACGCCCAGUGCUGGACUAUGGGUCUAUCAUUUAUUUCCUUAAGACCAAAAGCCAGAUUCCUCUCCCAGAGUAACUGUGUGAUGGCCCUCAACGGUCCAGAUUUCAACUCUGGCCGCGGGUGAUGGGCUCCUGCUUAGAGUGCGUGGAUCUCAGUGGGGUGUGAGAAGGAUACUCCAGGGAAAUCGACUUAAUAUUAAACGAGUGUUUGGUUCCGAGUCAAGAUGACUUUUAAGUUUGCUUUGCUUUGCAUUCUGAAAACCCAAGGGAGAUGGAGAAGAACUCAGCAAGAUCUAAAAGGAUUCCAAGAGAGCAAAAAUUGGGGUUGCUUUAAUUUGGGGCUAUACGAAUCAUUUCCAGGAUAGAAAUUCAAAGGUAAGAGAUUACUUUGCUUUUACCCUUGUGAUCUGGAAAGGGUUAGGGUGGAGUUUCUUGGAGCCUCUGGGGCCGCCCAGCAUGGGUGUGGCUUUAUGAUUUAACAAGAGUUUGCUUGAACCCUCCUAAAUUACCUCAGCCUAUUGAAUUGGAAAAUUCACCGCAGAAUGAAAAGACUCAGUAAAAAAGAGGUUUGGUUUGUUCAUGAAGGUAAGUAGCUUGUGAGAUGCUUUAUUUUCCUGUGACUGAAAAUUCCAGCUUGUAAUUCCCAGUAAAGAUGGCUUCAAGCUACUCAUUAGGACAAAUGAAACCUGUUUCACCACUCUCAUAGGAGAAAGGCAAAACGUCUUCAUUCGCCAACCUUGGGCCAUCCCCCUCUUUGAAGGUAGCUCUGAGAUUAGGCCUGUAAUGGAGACAGAGGCUUAGCUAACUGUGGGGUGGGUACAGGGUGGAAUCAGGCAGGAGAGGCGAAGUGUAGGCGUCCACAAGGGGCAAUCUUAGUUGCUACCGAGAAGGUCCAGAACUGUCCCAAAAGACAAUAAAGUUUCUGUAAACAAAGGACCCUUUCUAAGCCCCGAGAUGUCAUUUCCUUCUCAUUGGAGAAAAAGAAGGUGGGCAGGGGGUAGGAAGGGGGAGGUCGGAGAGGAGAAGGUAGUUUUAGGGGAAAGGAUGUGAGAGCACACUUUGAGUGGGAAGGGAAUAGUUUCAUUUUCUGGCAUUAAAAUAGGGAUUAAAACAAAAUCACUUAAGAAGCAACCCUAGAAUCUGGUAAACUAUUAACCAGACUUUGAGUGCAUUAAUUACAGAGUCAUUAGAAGAACUUGGUUGCUAGGAGCUCUGAGGUGGAUCAAAUGGGAUGGGAGUUGCUGCUGGGCUACGUUUUAUAGUCUCUGAAGGAAAUGUUUCCAUUGCAUUGUCUCCCAUUUGCGCUGGGGAUACAUAUGAUUUUCUCAGCAUUUAGGACAUACUUCCUCAAUCCUCCUCCUCGACUCUAGCUGACGUGUUGCCCAAGAAGCACUUCAGACGAUAAUAACCAGCGGCAAAGCCACCUACCGGAUUGUUGCUGGCCUUUCCCGCGAGGAUGACCCGGGCCUUAACCUUGUUCAUGUUGAAGUUCUUCAAGUAGGCCUCGUAAAUCCUCUUAGCGAGAGAUUUGAGAUCUGCGGUUUCAGAAUUUUUUUCUAGGUCAUGUUCACAUGUAAGGAUUUCUGCUUUCAAUUUUGCUUUUUCCGAUCUUGGCAUUCGUCCAAAACGAAUCGCUGGGGGUCGGAGGGGAGAAACGGAAGAACAGAAAACACAGAGAAAUGAACAACAAAACACGGCACGAGGACUAAUGGCUGGACGAAAGGUUCACACCACGGGUUAGACUGUGAGCAAACAUGCAUGGCUACGGUCACAUGUGUCAUAUGCCAGCUUUAGCCGAAUAGUUCUCCGAAAGAAACCCUGCGGAUUGAGAUACAGUUUAUUAAAGAAUAUGGGCCACUGAGGAAUCAGCGUCAUUCCUUUAUUCACGUUUCCUGUU